RNAcentral lists this transfer RNA (75 nucleotides) under Methanococcus aeolicus. RNAcentral's name for it is "tRNA-Met". It matches the Rfam family "tRNA". Rfam says of the family: Transfer RNA (tRNA) molecules are approximately 80 nucleotides in length. Lineage: Archaea; Methanobacteriati; Methanobacteriota; Methanococci; Methanococcales; Methanococcaceae. The record is from RNAcentral. RNAcentral also lists the same sequence under 1 other name.
GCCGAGGUGGCUUAGGCUGGUUAUAGCGCUCGGCUCAUAACCGAGAGGCCGGGGGUUCGAGUCCCCCCCUCGGCA